Molecule: ribosomal RNA, 253 nt
Filed under: uncultured bacterium
Lineage: Bacteria
Description: partial 16S ribosomal RNA
Rfam family: Bacterial small subunit ribosomal RNA
Source: RNAcentral
UACGAAGGGGGCUAGCGUUGCUCGGAAUUACUGGGCGUAAAGGGCGCGUAGGCGGCCUGUUAAGUCGAACGUGAAAUCCCCGGGCUCAACCCGGGAACUGCGUCCGAUACUGGCAGGCUUGAAUCCGGGAGAGGGAUGCGGAAUUCCAGGUGUAGCGGUGAAAUGCGUAGAUAUCUGGAGGAACACCGGUGGCGAAGGCGGCAUCCUGGACCGGUAUUGACGCUGAGGCGCGAAAGCGUGGGGAGCGAACAGG